UACGAAGGGGGCUAGCGUUGCUCGGAAUCACUGGGCGUAAAGCGCACGUAGGCGGAUUCUUAAGUCAGGGGUGAAAUCCCGGGGCUCAACCUCGGAACUGCCUUUGAUACUGCAAAUCUCGAGUCCGGAAGAGGAGAGUGGAAUUCCUGGUGUAGCGGUGAAAUGCGCAGAUAUCAGGAAGAACACCAAUGGCGAAGGCAGCUCUCUGGGACGGUACUGACGCUGAGGAGCGAAAGCGUGGGGAGCGAACAGG
This 253-nucleotide ribosomal RNA is filed under the name uncultured bacterium. RNAcentral's name for it is "partial 16S ribosomal RNA". It matches the Rfam family "Bacterial small subunit ribosomal RNA", at positions 524 to 776 of the family's 1533-position model. The record is from RNAcentral.